This 375-nucleotide ribosomal RNA is filed under the name uncultured bacterium. RNAcentral's name for it is "bacterial SSU rRNA". It matches the Rfam family "Bacterial small subunit ribosomal RNA", at positions 521 to 896 of the family's 1533-position model. The record is from RNAcentral.
UAAUACGUAGGCAGCAAGCGUUGUUCGGAGUUACUGGGCGUAAAGAGUGCGUAGGUGGUCCCCUAAGUUCGGUGUGAAAUCUCCCGGCUCAACUGGGAGGGUGCGCCGGAAACUGGGGGGCUUGAGUGUGGGAGAGGAAAGCGGAAUUCCUGGUGUAGCGGUGAAAUGCGUAGAUAUCAGGAGGAACACCGGUGGUGUAGACGGCUUUCUGGACCACUACUGACACUGAAGCACGAAAGCGUGGGGAGCAAACAGGAUUAGAUACCCUGGUAGUCCACGCCCUAAACGAUGCAUACUUGGUGUGAGUCAUUCAUUUGAUUCGUGCCGGAGCUAACGCGUUAAGUAUGCCGCCUGGGGAGUACGGUCGCAAGGCUG